CUCAAAUGAAGAGAACCUAAAGACUUCACCUGCUAUAAAGCAAGGACUGUAUGCAAUUCUAACUUAAAGAAAGAUUUGACGGACUCUGUACCAAAUCCUCUGCUUUUCUUUACAUCUUUGAAUUUCCUUUUAACACCCCCACAGAGUCAGAGAGUAAUAUAGCAAGACCAGAUUUAGAUGUGUGUGAUGUUAUUUACCACUGUUAAAAUGAACACAUGUAAAAG
This is a non-coding RNA of Pelobates cultripes (western spadefoot toad), 224 nucleotides long. Lineage: Eukaryota; Metazoa; Chordata; Amphibia; Anura; Pelobatidae. The record is from the annotation of a GenBank genome assembly.